GAGUCGGACCUGCCCAGUGACUAAUAUGUUAAACGGCCGCGGUACCCUAACCGUGCAAAGGUAGCAUAAUCAUUUGCCUUUUAAUUGGAGGCUUGUAUGAAUGGUUUGACGAGAGCUAAGCUGUCUCUUUUGAAUUAUAUAAAAAUUAACUUUUAAGUGAAGAGGCUUAAAUUUAUUUAAGGGACAAGAAGACCCUGUUGAGCUUCAGUAAAGUUAUAGAUAGGUAGGUUAUUAAGAUAGUCUUAUUAUAUAUAGGUAUAUAGUAAAAUUCUGUAGCUAAUCUUUAGUUGGGGCGACUGAGGAACAUUAAAAGCUUCCUUUAAUAAGAUAUUAGAUAGUAUUUGCUUUCUAGUUCGAAUUGAUCCGAUAUUUGUCGAUUAAGGGAAAAAGUUACCACAGGGAUAACAGCGUAAUCUUUCUGGAGAGAUCUUAUCGAAAGGAGGGUUUGCGACCUCGAUGUUGGACUAAGAUAUCCUGAGGGUGUAGAAAUUCUCGAAGGUUGGUCUGUUCGACCAUUAAAAUCUUACGUGAUCUGAGU
RNAcentral lists this ribosomal RNA (538 nucleotides) under Chlorodiloma crinita. RNAcentral describes it as "partial 16S ribosomal RNA". It matches the Rfam family "Bacterial large subunit ribosomal RNA", at positions 1850 to 2610 of the family's 2925-position model. The record is from RNAcentral. Lineage: Eukaryota; Metazoa; Mollusca; Gastropoda; Trochida; Trochidae.